GGAACGAUCCUAGCUUGCUAGGAGGCGUCGAGCGGCGGACGGGUGAGUAAUGCAUAGGAAUCUGCCCGGUAGUGGGGGAUAACCUGGGGAAACCCAGGCUAAUACCGCAUACGCCCUACGGGGGAAAGCAGGGGAUCUUCGGACCUUGCGCUAUCGGAUGAGCCUAUGUCGGAUUAGCUAGUUGGUGAGGUAACGGCUCACCAAGGCUGCGAUCCGUAGCUGGUCUGAGAGGAUGAUCAGCCACAUCGGGACUGAGACACGGCCCGAACUCCUACGGGAGGCAGCAGUGGGGAAUAUUGGACAAUGGGCGAAAGCCUGAUCCAGCCAUGCCGCGUGUGUGAAGAAGGCCUUCGGGUUGUAAAGCACUUUCAGUGAGGAAGAAAGCCUUGAGGUUAAUACCCUCGAGGGAGGACAUCACUCACAGAAGAAGCACCGGCUAACUCCGUGCCAGCAGCCGCGGUAAUACGGAGGGUGCGAGCGUUAAUCGGAAUUACUGGGCGUAAAGCGCGCGUAGGCGGCUUGAUAAGCCGGUUGUGAAAGCCCCGGGCUCAACCUGGGAACGGCAUCCGGAACUGUCAGGCUAGAGUGCAGGAGAGGAAGGUAGAAUUCCCGGUGUAGCGGUGAAUGCGUAGAGAUCGGGAGGAAUACCAGUGGCGAAGGCGGCCUUCUGGACUGACACUGACGCUGAGGUGCGAAAGCGUGGGUAGCAACAGGA
Molecule: ribosomal RNA, 715 nt
Filed under: Halomonas denitrificans
Lineage: Bacteria; Pseudomonadati; Pseudomonadota; Gammaproteobacteria; Oceanospirillales; Halomonadaceae
Description: bacterial SSU rRNA
Rfam family: Bacterial small subunit ribosomal RNA
Source: RNAcentral